This 425-nucleotide ribosomal RNA is filed under the name Bacillus cereus. Its description in RNAcentral is "bacterial SSU rRNA". It matches the Rfam family "Bacterial small subunit ribosomal RNA", at positions 33 to 404 of the family's 1533-position model. Lineage: Bacteria; Bacillati; Bacillota; Bacilli; Caryophanales; Bacillaceae. The record is from RNAcentral.
UGUUUGCUCCACGCUGGCGCGCGCCUGUGCCUCUGAUAUACAUGCAAGUCGAGCGCGCAACUGGAUUAAGAGCUUGCUCUCUAUGAAGUUAGCGGCGGUACGGGUGAGUAACACGUGGGUAACCUGCCCAUAAGACUGGGAUAACUCCGGGAAACCGGGGCUAAUACCGGAUAACAUUUUGAACCGCUAUGGUUCGAAAUGUGAAAGGCGGCUUCGGCUGUCACUUAUGGAAGGACCCGCGUGCGCAUUACGCCUAGUUGGUGAGGAUAACGGCUCACCAAGGCAACGUAUGACCGUAGCCGACCUGAGAGGUAGUGAUCCGUGCCACCCUGGGACUGUACCGACACGGCGCCAGACUCCUACGGGAGGCAGCAGUAGGGAAUCUUCCGCAAUGGACGAAAGUCUGACGGAGCAACGCCGCGUGA